GCUUAUGCUGAGGAGUUCCUCGAGGUUUCCUUUCUAUCUUUCUCUGCUCACAGUUUCAUACAGUGACAAUUUUCUUAUAUAGAAAUCUUGGGUUGGUCCUGUUUUCGCUUUUAUGUUUUAGUACAUUCCAAGCAAAAUGCAUCUGUGUUAGGUAUAUUUGUGAAGCUCUAUGGCCUUGAAGUGAAAGUUACUAAGAUACAGUGGUGUUUAAAAGAUGCGAUCUGAGUAAAAAAUGAAUAGAUAAUCGCAGCAUGGUCUUCUCCUCUGUUCUCUUAUGCAAUGUUGAGAUCAUUGCCAUGUUUCUUCUGACAUAUGCUCUUGCCCUGAAGAUGAAUUCACUGAUUAACAAACCUUAGUCAAUUAAGGGUCUCUAGCACCAGCCAUGUCCUCACUUUGGCUUGUGUACAUUAUUGAAAAUCGUAUUAGCUACUGUAGGUGUGCUUUGAAAAUUCACUAUAUUAGCCAAAUUCUAAUGAAUUUUCUUACACUUGGACUUCUGAAUACAUGAUGCCUCUCCUUGAAACAGCCCAUAUUGCUUGCUUGAAUUCUUGUUUGCAAAGUAGGAGUAGGUAUGUUGUACCUGAACAUAACUUGAAAAAUAUUUUAUGUGCGUAAU
This 616-nucleotide unclassified non-coding RNA is filed under the name Hevea brasiliensis (rubber tree). The record is from RNAcentral. Lineage: Eukaryota; Viridiplantae; Streptophyta; Magnoliopsida; Malpighiales; Euphorbiaceae.